Molecule: ribosomal RNA, 468 nt
Filed under: uncultured bacterium
Lineage: Bacteria
Description: partial 16S ribosomal RNA
Rfam family: Bacterial small subunit ribosomal RNA
Source: RNAcentral
GACGAACGCUGGCGGCGUGCUUAACACAUGCAAGUCGAACGGAAAGGCCCUGCUUUUGUGGGGUGCUCGAGUGGCGAACGGGUGAGUAACACGUGAGUAACCUGCCCUUGACUUUGGGAUAACUUCAGGAAACUGGGGCUAAUACCGGAUAGGAGCUCCUGCUGCAUGGUGGGGGUUGGAAAGUUUCGGCGGUCGGGGAUGGACUCGCGGCUUAUCAGCUUGUUGGUGGGGUAGUGGCUUACCAAGGAUUUGACGGGUAGCCGGCCUGAGAGGGUGACCGGCGACAUUGGGCCUGAGAUACGGCCCAGACUCCUACGGGAGGCAGCAGUGGGGAAUAUUGCACAAUGGGCGGAAGCCUGAUGCAGCAACGCCGCGUGCGGGAUGACGGCCUUCGGGUUGUAAACCGCUUUCGCCUGUGACGAAGCGUGAGUGACGGUAAUGGGUGAAGAAGCACCGGCUAACUACGUG